RNAcentral lists this ribosomal RNA (492 nucleotides) under uncultured bacterium. RNAcentral describes it as "partial 16S ribosomal RNA". It matches the Rfam family "Bacterial small subunit ribosomal RNA", at positions 29 to 506 of the family's 1533-position model. The record is from RNAcentral.
AGUGAACGCUGGCGGUAGGCCUAACACAUGCAAGUCGAACGGCAGCACAGUAAGAGCUUGCUCUUACGGGUGGCGAGUGGCGGACGGGUGAGGAAUACAUCGGAAUCUACUUUUUCGUGGGGGAUAACGUAGGGAAACUUACGCUAAUACCGCAUACGACCUACGGGUGAAAGCAGGGGAUCUUCGGACCUUGCGCGAUUGAAUGAGCCGAUGUCGGAUUAGCUAGUUGGCGGGGUAAAGGCCCACCAAGGCGACGAUCCGUAGCUGGUCUGAGAGGAUGAACAGGCACACCGGGAAUUGAACACGGGCCCGACUCCUCAGGGGGGGCAGAGGGGGGAAAAUUGGGAAAAGGGGGGAAAGCUUGUCCAAGCAAUACGGGGGGGGGAAAGAAGGCCUUGGGUUUUAAAACCCUUUUUUUGGGGAAAAAAAGGAGGCGGGUUAAACCCCCGCUUUUUGACGGGAACCAAAAAAAAAAGCCCGGGUUAAUUCGGG